AUGAAAAUAAGUGUACAUUUGAAACUUACGGAUCAGAGACACUAUGAUGGCGUUUUCACAGUCGUCGAAAUCCGAAUAGAAAUACAAAGUUUCUUCCAGUGUUGUUGCAGUUAUGGUAAUACGUGUAGAGGAAGCUAUUAUGGAUUGUCGAAGUUCAGUGAUGUAGAGUAA
Vicia faba (fava bean) is the source of this 171-nucleotide non-coding RNA. The record is from the annotation of a GenBank genome assembly. Lineage: Eukaryota; Viridiplantae; Streptophyta; Magnoliopsida; Fabales; Fabaceae.